AUCGAACGCUGGCGGCAGGCCUAACACAUGCAAGUCGAGCGGAGCGGCGGACGGGAGUGUAAUGCCUAGGAAUCUGCCUGGUAGUGGGGGAUAACGUUCGGAAACGGGCGCUAAUACCGCAUACUAUCAGAUGAGCCUCGGUCGGAUUAGCUAGUUGGUGGGGGUAAGGCCUACCAAGGCGACGAUCCGUAACUGAUCUGAGAGGAUGAUCAGUCACACUGGACUUGGGACACUGUCCAGACUCCUACGGGAGGCAGCAGUGGGGCAUAUUGGGCAAUGGGCGAAAGCCUGAUCCAGCCAGGCCGCGUGUGUGAAGAAGGUCUUCGGAUUGUAAAGCCCUUUAAGUUGGGAGGCGUUACCAGCAGAAUAAGCACCGGCUAACUUCGUGCCAGCCGCCGCGGUAAUUC
RNAcentral lists this ribosomal RNA (407 nucleotides) under uncultured bacterium. Its description in RNAcentral is "partial 16S ribosomal RNA". It matches the Rfam family "Bacterial small subunit ribosomal RNA", at positions 30 to 526 of the family's 1533-position model. The record is from RNAcentral.